UACAUACUGACAAGAAAAAAAAUAUCUCAUCUCACCUACUGACAGAAAAUAUGAGGAAUUAGAGUUACCUGAGGUUAAGGUUUAUUGUGACCUUGUUGAUAACUUGUACGAGGAGGAGAUUGAACAAAUGGAAUUGGAGGUUUUGAAGUAAUUGAAUUUUGAGAUGACAGUCCCAACAGCUUAAUAUUUUCUUGGAUUAUUUGUUUAUGCUACUGCUGAUGGAACAAAUCAGGAUCCAUCAUUGGAGUACUUGGCUGAAUACAUAAUUGAGCUAUCUCUCCUAGACUACAAAAUUCUUUGCUAUGCUCCAUCACUUACAGCUGCCUCUGCAAUUUUCUUGGCUAAUUAUAUACUUUUCCCCUUCAAGAACAACAUGGAACUUUGCUUUGCAAAAUUAUACACUUGACAAGGCUUCUGAUAUGAGCGACUGUGUUAAAGAUCUUCACCGGCGGUUAUUUGACAUUUAUAAUACUGAUUUAUUUGCAAGCAGAGACAAGUACAGACGAGACGAAUAUAAAUCUGUCGCAAACAAUAACUUCACUCCAUCUAUUCCUCCGGCAAUUUUUCACGACCGAAGCUACCAUUACCAUUCUUCUUCUUCUUCUUCUUUUUCUCUUUUUUAUGGCAGUCAUUGAUAGAUUUUUGGAACAAAAUCAAGAUGUAAAUCCUUAAAAAAAUUCAUGUAUUCAUUUGGUACAAAAAUUAUACUAUUGUUUGAAGUUUAAAGGAGUUAAUAUACGAUGAAACGUUA
This is a long non-coding RNA of Jatropha curcas, 751 nucleotides long. RefSeq lists it as uncharacterized. NCBI's taxonomy places the organism in Eukaryota, Viridiplantae, Streptophyta, Magnoliopsida, Malpighiales, Euphorbiaceae. The record is from RefSeq and is a predicted model, not a curated record.